RNAcentral lists this long non-coding RNA (744 nucleotides) under Homo sapiens (human). Its description in RNAcentral is "non-protein coding lnc-KLF15-3:7". The record is from RNAcentral. Lineage: Eukaryota; Metazoa; Chordata; Mammalia; Primates; Hominidae.
ACAAACUUUGCCUCCGCAAUGUCUGGGUAGGGGAGACUGUGUCAGGAGUGGCUGAAAUUUGCUAUCAAUACCAGUAUUGAACUGUGUCUAUUCAAGCCACGAAACACCUCCUGACCCCAAGAAAAGAAGGAAAAAAGAAAAAAGGAAAGAGGAAAGGGAAAAAGAAGAAUGAAGGAAGAAAGGAGGAAGGAAGAAGAAAAAGGAAGAAGAAAGCUGCAAGGAAGGAGGGAAAGAAGGAGGAAAGAGGAAGAACAGAAGGAACUUUUAAAGCCCAGGAACACAUGCUGUCAGAGUGGUGACGUCAUGGCCCCUGCCCAUUGGCUGUCGGAGCAGUGACAUCAUCAUACCUGCUGGAAGUUGCUGCCAUACCCCUGAGAGAGAAUGAGACAGAAGUAACAUGUUAACAUUGUCACGAACAGAGUUUUCACCUUGAAGAUGCCUUGAAAGUGUAUCGGGGCCCCAGAGCUCUCUGGACCACUUUGAGAACCACUCAGUCCUCUAAACUGCUGAAAACUGGUGCCUUUGUGAACACAAAUCAGGGCAACUUGGAGUUUCUGUGCUGGAAGGACGGCUUCAGAGGAGCUCAUCGUGGCCAGAAAAAUGCAGGAGGAUGAAGAGGUGAAUCUGGGAGGCAGACAGGAACAAUCAACUGAACAAAUACAGGAUGCCAGCCUGUGUGAAGUGUAGCAGAGGGCGUGCAAAGACAUCGCUCUGCCCUCGGGCUUCUGAAGAAGGUACUCUAUA